UCUUUUCACCAUUUCAAGUAAACAACAAAAUUAUGAUUGGGCGGCGUUUGAGAACUUAGAUUGGUUUUUGGCUUAAGAUGGUUUGAAUUAUUUAUAACUAAGUUUUCUGGAUUUGAUUUUGAUUUUGGGGUUUUGUUAUUUGGCUUAAGUUUUUUUUUACAUGUUUUCUUAAAGGAAGGCUUGGUUUUGUUUUUUUUUUUAAAUUAAACAAAAUAUUAAUUUUUCGCUGCAAAUUUGAAAUAAGUUUUACAUAAGUUAAUAAUGGAAGUUUCAGAAAAUGCACAAUCGGUAAAUAUACGUUCUCUCUAAUCUGAAUCACAAUUUCUGAAUUAGCUACUUCGAAAUUUCCGC
Molecule: long non-coding RNA, 351 nt
Filed under: Gossypium raimondii (Peruvian cotton)
Lineage: Eukaryota; Viridiplantae; Streptophyta; Magnoliopsida; Malvales; Malvaceae
Description: long non-coding RNA (GRAI_LNC009598)
Source: RNAcentral